GGUUAAGUUAGAAAGGGCGCACGGUGAAUGCCUUGGCACUAGGAGCCGAUGAAGGACGGGACUAACACCGAUAUGCUUCGGGGAGCUGUAAGUGAGCUUUGAUCCGGAGAUUUCCGAAUGGGAAACCCACUGUUCGUAAUGGAACAGUAUCUUUAUCUGAAUACAUAGGAUAUUGAAGGCAGACCCGGGGAACUGAAACAUCUAAGUACCCGGAGGAAGAGAAAGCAAAUGCGAUUUCCUGAGUAGCGGCGAGCGAAACGGAAUUAGCCCAAACCAAGAGGCUUGCCUCUUGGGGUUGUAGACACUCUAUACGGAGUUACAAAGGAACGAAGUAAAUGAAGCGACCUGGAAAGGUCCGUCGAAGAAGGUAACAACCCUGUAGUUGAAACUUCGUUCCCUCUUGAGUGGAUCCUGAGUACGGCGGAACACGUGAAAUUCCGUCGGAAGCUGGGAGGACCAUCUCCCAAGGCUAAAUACUACCUAGUGACCGAUAGUGAACCAGUACCGUGAGGGAAAGGUGAAAAGCACCCCGGAAGGGAGUGAAAGAGAUCCUGAAACCGUGUGCCUACAAGUAGUCAGAGCCCGUUAACGGGUGAUGGCGUGCCUUUUGUAGAAUGAACCGGCGAGUUACGAUCCCAUGCAAGGUUAAGCUGAUAAGGCGGAGCCGUAGCGAAAGCGAGUCUGAAUAGGGCGUUUAGUAUGUGGUUGUAGACCCGAAACCAGGUGAUCUACCCAUGUCCAGGGUGAAGUUCAGGUAACACUGAAUGGAGGCCCGAACCCACGCACGUUGAAAAGUGCGGGGAUGAGGUGUGGGUAGCGGAGAAAUUCCAAUCGAACCUGGAGAUAGCUGGUUCUCUCCGAAAUAGCUUUAGGGCUAGCCUCAUGUUGUGAGAGUCUUGGAGGUAGAGCACUGAUUGGACUAGGGGCCCCCAACGGGUUACCGAAUUCAGUCAAACUCCGAAUGCCAAAGACUUAUCCAUGGGAGUCAGACUGCGAGUGAUAAGAUCCGUAGUCAAAAGGGAAACAGCCCAGACCACCAGCUAAGGUCCCCAAGUAUACGUUAAGUGGAAAAGGAUGUGGAGUUGCUUAGACAACCAGGAUGUUGGCUUAGAAGCAGCCACCAUUUAAAGAGUGCGUAAUAGCUCACUGGUCGAGUGACUCUGCGCCGAAAAUGUACCGGGGCUAAACGUAUCACCGAAGCUGUGGAUUGACAUCUUAGAUGUCAGUGGUAGGAGAGCGUUCUAAGUGCAGCGAAGUCAGACCGUAAGGACUGGUGGAGCGCUUAGAAGUGAGAAUGCCGGUAUGAGUAGCGAAAGACAAGUGAGAAUCUUGUCCACCGAAUGCCUAAGGUUUCCUGAGGAAGGCUCGUCCGCUCAGGGUUAGUCGGGACCUAAGCCGAGGCUGAAAAGCGUAGGCGAUGGCCAACAGGUUGAUAUUCCUGUACCACCUCCCCGCCGUUUGAGUAAUGGGGGGACGCAGUAGGAUAGGGUAAGCGCGCGCUGGAUAUGCGCGUUCAAGCAGUUAGGCUGAUGGUAGGCAAAUCCGCUCAUCAUAAAGGCUGAGCUGUGAUGACGAGGGAAUUAUAGUACCGAAGUUCCUGAUUCCACACUGCCAAGAAAAGCCUCUAGCGAGGCGGGAGGUGCCCGUACCGCAAACCGACACAGGUAGGCGAGGAGAGAAUCCUAAGGUGAUCGAGAGAACUCUCGUUAAGGAACUCGGCAAAAUGACCCCGUAACUUCGGGAGAAGGGGUGCUCUGGUAGGGUGUAUAGCCCGAGAGAGCCGCAGUGAAUAGGCCCAGGCGACUGUUUAGCAAAAACACAGGUCUCUGCGAAGCCGCAAGGCGAAGUAUAGGGGCUGACGCCUGCCCGGUGCUGGAAGGUUAAGAGGAGGGGUUAUCCUUUGGGAGAAGCUCUGAAUCGAAGCCCCAGUAAACGGCGGCCGUAACUAUAACGGUCCUAAGGUAGCGAAAUUCCUUGUCGGGUAAGUUCCGACCCGCACGAAAGGCGUAACGAUCUGGGCACUGUCUCAACGAGAGACUCGGUGAAAUUAUAGUACCUGUGAAGAUGCAGGUUACCCGCGACAGGACGGAAAGACCCCGUGGAGCUUUACUGUAGCCUGAUAUUGAAUUUUGGUACAGCUUGUACAGGAUAGGUAGGAGCCUGAGAAGCCGGAGCGCUAGCUUCGGUGGAGGCGUCGGUGGGAUACUACCCUGGCUGUAUUGAAAUUCUAACCCGCGGCCCUGAUCGGGCCGGGAGACAGUGUCAGGUGGGCAGUUUGACUGGGGCGGUCGCCUCCUAAAAUGUAACGGAGGCGCCCAAAGGUUCCCUCAGAAUGGUUGGAAAUCAUUCGUAGAGUGUAAAGGCACAAGGGAGCUUGACUGCGAGACCUACAAGUCGAGCAGGGACGAAAGUCGGGCUUAGUGAUCCGGUGGUUCCGCAUGGAAGGGCCAUCGCUCAACGGAUAAAAGCUACCCGGGGAUAACAGGCUUAUCUCCCCCAAGAGUCCACAUCGACGGGGAGGUUUGGCACCUCGAUGUCGGCUCAUCGCAUCCUGGGGCUGUAGUCGGUCCCAAGGGUUGGGCUGUUCGCCCAUUAAAGCGGUACGCGAGCUGGGUUCAGAACGUCGUGAGACAGUUCGGUCCCUAUCCGUCGUGGGCGUAGGAAAUUUGAGAGGAGCUGUCCUUAGUACGAGAGGACCGGGAUGGACACACCGCUGGUGUACCAGUUGUCUUGCCAAAGGCAUCGCUGGGUAGCUAUGUGUGGACGGGAUAAGUGCUGAAAGCAUCUAAGCAUGAAGCCCCCCUCAAGAUGAGAUUUCCCAUAGCGCAAGCUAGUAAGAUCCCUGAAAGAUGAUCAGGUUGAUAGGUCAGAGGUGGAAGCGUGGCGACAUGUGUAGCUGACUGAUACUAAUCGAUCGAGGACUUAACCAA
Molecule: ribosomal RNA, 2930 nt
Filed under: Priestia megaterium
Lineage: Bacteria; Bacillati; Bacillota; Bacilli; Caryophanales; Bacillaceae
Description: 23S ribosomal RNA
Rfam family: Bacterial large subunit ribosomal RNA
Source: RNAcentral